Molecule: ribosomal RNA, 482 nt
Filed under: uncultured bacterium
Lineage: Bacteria
Description: bacterial SSU rRNA
Rfam family: Bacterial small subunit ribosomal RNA
Source: RNAcentral
GAUGAACGCUGGCGGCGUGCCUAACACAUGCAAGUCGAACGAAGCACUUUCACAGAUCCCCUUCGGGGGUGAAGUGAUUGUGACUUAGUGGCGGACGGGUGAGUAACGCGUGGGUAACCUGCCUCAUACAGGGGGAUAACAGCUGGAAACGGCUGCUAAAACCGCAUAAGCACACAGCAUCGCAUGAUGCAGUGUGAAAAUAUUUAUAGGUAUGAGAUGGGCCCGCGUCUGAUUAGCUAGUUGGUGAGGUAAAGGCUCACCAAGGCGACGAUCAGUAGCCGGCUUGAGAGAGUGACCGGCCACAUUGGGACUGAGACACGGCCCAAAACUCCUACGGGAGGCAGCAGUGGGGAAUAUUGCACAAUGGGGGAAACCCUGAUGCAGCGACGCCGCGUGAGUGAAGAAGUACUUCGGUAUGUAAAGCUCUAUCAGCAGGGAAGAAAAUGACGGUACCUGACUAAGAAGCCCCGGCUAACUACGUG